This is a non-coding RNA of Pelobates cultripes (western spadefoot toad), 433 nucleotides long. The record is from the annotation of a GenBank genome assembly. Lineage: Eukaryota; Metazoa; Chordata; Amphibia; Anura; Pelobatidae.
AAAUGUUGGUCCUUUUUUGUCUGGUUGUAAUGUAAUGACAGGACUGUUAACCCCUUAAGGACACAACUUCUGGAAUAAAAGGGAAUCAUGAUGGAAUAGUUCCGCCAUGUGUCUUUAAGGGGUUAAACAAUGAUUGCAACCAGUAGUCCGUUAUCUCUCAGUGCAAUGAUUGUUCAUGACUUCACUAGACUUGCGCAAUUUGUUUCAUUCCGAAUCGGAUUCAUAACUAAUUGAAGCAAAGCAUUUCAGAUCCAUUCAAGGAUAGCAAAUUGGGGAGUUAUCUACUGAACAACUGCAAAAGAAAAAGGGCUUUUCUUAAUUUUGAUCUUUCAGCUUUUUGGUGAGUAGGUCCAUCACUUGGUAUCCUUAAAUAUAGUAUUCCCACGUAAGGACAGCAAAUCAGGGAGUUAUCUACUAAACAGUUGAAAGAUCA